Molecule: unclassified non-coding RNA, 331 nt
Filed under: fungal sp.
Lineage: Eukaryota; Fungi
Description: partial internal transcribed spacer region
Rfam family: Eukaryotic small subunit ribosomal RNA (bases 1-46)
Source: RNAcentral
AAGUCGUAACAAGGUAACCGUAGGUGAACCUGCGGUUGGAUCAUUACAGAAUGAUUUCGGCUUCGGCCGUGUGCUUCUGAUGUGCAAUUCAAUUUGCCUCACUAGCAUAUCUACCCAACCUUUUGUGAACUGUUGUGUCUCUGGCAGUGGGGCUGCAUUGCCUUCUCAUUCUGGGAAGGCCAUUGCAGUCUGUCAACGUGGUACUGCUCAGUCAGUCUGCGCCGUGGACAAGCUGCCAACCACUUGAAACUUUUUAUCAUAUAUUUUCUUGUCUUACACUUUAAGUAUUUAAUUAUACAAACAACUUUUGGCAACGGAUCUCUUGGCUCUC